UUAAAAAAGGUAAACCAUCCUGUGUUGUAGCAUGUGUGCUGUACAUCCAUAGGGCACUCAAAAGGAGGAUUCACCUUUACUAGGGUGACAGAGGUUUCCUGUAGACCUAACCAACUUAGAAGAAGAUCCAAGAGAAAACCAAGAAUGCAGAAUCCCAGCAUGGGAAGGAGAAGGAAAGUACUGUCUUAAAAUCAACAUACAGCCAGAUGUAUGUCUCUUCCCCGUGUUACUGGAGGUUGAGAUUGACACAGAUGGAUGGCAAGAUUGGACAGUGAACUGAGAGUGGCUGAUGUGGAUGGACGGCAGCAGCAUGGAGGAGAUCUUUGCUGAGGGCAGUUCUGUGGGCUGUGAAUGGCUGACAUGGCUGGCUGACAAGGAGCUGUCCUGAAAGGCUUCCAUCUAGCCGUAAACUGGGGAUGGCUGACAUGGCCGGGCAGACAGGCAGCGCCAUUGCCCUGCAAUGGGUUGAGAGCUCCUGCUAUGGGGAGAUUAUCAAAUGAAUGUAAAAUCUCUGGGAAGAUGACCCUCCCCAGAACCUUGCUGUGAGAGCUGUGUUAAUGUCGUGUCUGUCUAGUUCGUAUUGUAAGCUUUUAGGGGCAGAUAUCUUGCUUUUAUCUUUUUGCUUUUACCAGCUUGUAAAGUUCUCUGUGCACUCCUGGUGAAAAAGGGCUAAUGGGUCAAUCCCCAAGAAAUCCUUAAUAAGCCAUCACUCUCUUCACUCGGGCAGCCCUUCCCCUCCCAUUAACCUCAAAUCAUAUGGCUAUACUGCACAGUUAGCUCAGGUAAUCAGUACCCAGGUCUGAGCACCCAGGUUAUCCCAACCUAGGCAUGAGCAUGCCCACUGCAAGGCCUUACUCACAUUGCUGUGUCCUCACUGUUUCUGUGCUCCCCCAUAUGUGUCUAGGGGCAUAUCCCAUGGUUCUCUGUACUGAGAUACGCUAAGAUUCUUUCCCAGUCAAUUGUGUCAGUUGUGGGAGAACUUGCUUGUCCUUCACCGGGAGCUGCGGGAAGGGCAUUGGAAGAGUACCAGCACUCAGGUGAUUUUGCCUGCAUCCUCAUUGCGAAGUUAAUGGGUUCCAGCCCAGUGAAAGCAGCACCUAGGCUCUAGUCUAUACUCAGCUGGAUAAACUAGGUUGGGCUUAAAAGACCUCCAAACCUGGGGCAGAGGUUUCUCUGUGUGGAUGGUAGAGGAAUUUGGGCUAAAAUGGGUUGGGACCCAGAUUUAUUAUGCAGUCUGGACAGACCCCUGGGGAGUUUUGCACCUGGGCAAGGAUUUCAGGAUGUGGUCCCACUGUAAUAGCUGACCUGUGUAACAGGACUACAGAUUGCUAAGGAAGCAGGGCCAGACAGAAACAGCAUCAGUUUAGUCUCCUUCAGGCCCUGAUCCUGUCCACCAGCAUGAUCACAAGACACGACUAGUGCCGUGGUCAGUUUCUCAGAAUUUCUUUUUCUUUAGAAAGAUCCAUCUUUUAACUCCUUUUAUUACUCACCUCAUCACAAUGAUCUUCAUUCAUGUCCACAGAGCAUAGGGCUAGAUUGACCCUUGGUUGGAUGGGGGUCAGAGGGACAUGGCUGCAGUGAAAGACCAGGAAGAAUGCUGGCUGAUUCAGCUCCACCAUGGAUGCUGCAUGACGUUCUUCCUGUACCACAGCAGUGGGAAAAGGGCCAAGGCCUCACCCUAGCCUCACCUGCUCACCCCCGCCCUAGGAAGUCAAGUUCUGCCACUGGGCCUAGCAUGGAGCAGUGACUCUGCUCCCAAGCCACAUUUCCUGGCUCCUCUAUAGAGACCUAAGUGAGAAAGGAAGGCAAGUGUCUUUGCACCCCCCCCCCCCACAUUCUUUUGUACGUCAGACAGGGUCAGACACAAUGUGGCCAGUGACAUUUGGGGUCCUGCACACUAUGUGCAGUACAAGAUCCAAAGUAAACCGUUUCCCCCCCUCCAUUUAGGAAGGGAAUAGUUUUCAACUGUAUCCUUACCACAAACCUAGAAAUAAAGAGCCUAAGUCAAGGUCAUGGCUUUUGGGGUGCCUGACUCAUGAUUUUUGUACACUGUGGAUUGUCAAAUACUGGGAUAAAAAAAACUGAAGUCAAUCGGAGUUACUCAUACCCUUUAAAAGGCUGGGAGGUGAUUCACACCCGGAGAGUGGAAACACCAGUUUACUGGCUCUCUCCGGCAAAGGGUAUGUUGAUCCUGCCAGAUGCUUAAGCACAGAGCUAGAAUGCUUAGAGUCUUGCAGGAUCAAAUUCUAUGAACACAAGGGAUCCCUCUAGCCUCUUCUCUCUGCCUCUUUCUCCUUUAAACAGUCACAGAUGAGCAGCUAAAAUCAUCUCAAAAUAAACAUGGUCAAUGCUAAAAUAUUUUAAUUACAUUGCUGGUUACUUUUAAGAUAACACAUAACAACACCCAAGCCAAGAAACUUUGGAAACCAUGUAUCCGAAGCACCAACAUAUUAACAAGCAAAACACAAUAAAUGUUAGAUUUUUAGCACUCUCAUAAAAAACAUGCCAUAUAACAAUAGCACCAGGAGGCAAUAGUUCAGACUGGUUCACCACAAAAUAUCAUCUGGCCAAUGACAAUAAAAGGAUAAUCUUGAAACCGCUGUCAGGGCUAAUAUUCAGUAAGGAUUUCUUAUUUGAUUUUCACCCCAGAUGAGAUAUUACAGAAAAUCCCCAUUCCUUAACUAGAGGAAUUCUUUUGCUUUCAAUGGUACUUUUCCAUGUGAAUCAAUUGCACCCCAUCUCUCUCCUUUACUGAAGGAUAGCUAUAUCUGUCUCUAACCUUUUACUUUUGUACCCACAGACACAGUGGUUCUCCCUACGCCAACCAAAAAUCCAAUACAGAAUCUGUGGGAGGCAUAUUAAUGAUAAAAAAACCUCAAGGUUGUGUUUGUAUUGUUCACAAGGAAAGAGGAAAUUACAAGCAGCCACAGGGUGCAGGAGUGUUUGAAUCACCCCAGCUGUUUUCUAAUUCUGAAAGGAAAGUUUUAAAACCUUUCUCCUUGUGAACUGGUGACAUAAAUGGUGUCAUGCAGCCACGGGCUGAGGAUUGCUUCCCCACCUGUUGCUUGUAGCCUGCACUAUUACAGAUCAUCUGGAAACCAUAAACCUCCCGUUCCGUUCAUUUUUGGGCACCAAAACUGAAGUCUGGGGAUGCUGCAGGUCCGGCCUGUGCUGCACUGGAAGAACUCUCUGUGGAUCCUGUACUUGAACUCAAAGGUGCUGUAGGCCAGGGUCACCGUGCACCAGUAUAGCUAGGUGUAAGAAGUUAGCUCAUUACCUGCCUACUCUCUGCCUGGCUCUGUCAGCUUUUAAUACAAGUGAGCUCUACAUAUUCGUCUAAUCAUUAAAAAGGAGAGGGACAAACCUCGCUCUGGGGAGGGAAAUUAAAUGAGAAAGCAAUUAAUAGAAGGUAGAGGAGUGAGACUGGCCUUAUCACCUUAGUGCUGGCCUAUCAGAGAGGGUGCUGACAGAUUUACCACCACUGUGACAUGUAGAGAAUUCUCAGCUCCCAGUGCCAAGGGCUCCAAGUACAAUACACACCCUUCUGUUUGGGCUCCAGCCCAGUUUGGCACCAAAACAUUUCAGAGGAUCCAUUCUUUUCAUUUUUAGGCCUCUGUCCACCUGCCAGACUUCAAGCCACCUCAAUAUAGCAGCCAGCUAUUGCCUAGCCUGACAAGUCAGUUCUAGAAAAGGAACCAUUUGACUCUAUGUCCAGAACCUGUACCAUAGUCCCACUUCUAACUACCUGUGAGCUCCCCUUGAGCCUGUGUAUCUUUAGACAUAGAGUUAAGUCGGGAGGAGUUUCCUUAUGUUCUUGGUCUUCUUUCUGCUCCAUCCAGUCUGCUGCACUACUUCCCUCCGGAAAAGUGACUUGUGGUUCCAGGUCACUUGUGUUGAUUUCAAAAGGGGAUCAUUGUUUGACGCACACAUACACGCACACACUGUGCUUCGGGGGUUUCCGAUUUGGGCUGCAUGAGCCAACUCGGCUGCAUACCUAGAACUGGAGCCUUCCACUGCAUCAGGCUCAGCUUGGGUACGAGGCUCAGCCAGGGGGACAGUAUCAGGAUUGCAGCUUAAUCUCUGUGCCCCUCAGAGUUUAUCAUGGAUCCCUCCCUUGGCUGGCUGGCACAUUCAAGGCAUCUGCAGAAGAGCUUUCGCAGCAGUCAGUACUCGGUCUGAGUGAGGGGAGUCUCUGCAGAGCUGUCCUCCGCUUCUGUGCUGAGCACUGACCUCAGUCAGACAUACCCUCCCCAACAGCUGUCCCCAACACUGUUACCUGAAAUUGGGCCAGCUAGUAAGCUUAGGGAAGACUAAUGACCCACCAGAGUUUGGCAGAAAGCAGCACGUUUAUUAUUCUGAUAGCUAAGCUCAAAAGAA
Molecule: long non-coding RNA, 4377 nt
Organism: Chelonia mydas (Green sea turtle)
Lineage: Eukaryota; Metazoa; Chordata; Testudines; Cheloniidae
Exons: 4
Source: RefSeq, a predicted model, not a curated record